AGGACCUGGAUAUAGAGGAAUACAACACCCGGAGGUUCCACCUCGUAGAGCACAAGCCACCGUCAAGACAGAGUAAGAGUCUCACUGAGUGUCAUGAGAAGCUCAGCAAGGUCUAGGCUUGGUUUAAGUUCCAAGACAAGGUCAUUGGUAAGUGUUUCAAGAUGGUCACAUCUAUACAGAAGAAGUUGAGCCGCUCCUCUACUAGCACUACUGCACCA
RNAcentral lists this microRNA precursor (218 nucleotides) under Arabidopsis halleri subsp. gemmifera. Its description in RNAcentral is "pre miRNA MIR854". It matches the Rfam family "MIR854 microRNA precursor family". Lineage: Eukaryota; Viridiplantae; Streptophyta; Magnoliopsida; Brassicales; Brassicaceae. The record is from RNAcentral.